AUUGAACGCUGGCGGCAGGCCUAACACAUGCAAGUCGAACGAGUGGCGGACGGGUGAGUAAUGUCUGGGAAACUGCCCGAUGGAGGGGGAUAACUACUGGAAACGGUAGCUAAUACCGCAUACCAUCGGAUGUGCCCAGAUGGGAUUAGCUAGUAGGUGGGGUAACGGCUCCCCUAGGCGACGAUCCCUAGCUGGUCUGAGAGGAUGACCCGCCCCACUGGACCUGAGACACGGUCCAGACUCCUACGCGCGGCAGCAGUGGGGAAUAUUGCACAAUGGGCGCAAGCCUUAUGCAGCCAUUCCGCGUGUAUGAAGAAGGCCUUCGGGUUGUAAAGUCCUUUCAGCGAGGAGGCGUUACUCGCAGAAUAAGCACCGGCUAACUCCGUGCCAGCAGCCGCGGUAAUAC
This 406-nucleotide ribosomal RNA is filed under the name uncultured bacterium. RNAcentral describes it as "partial 16S ribosomal RNA". It matches the Rfam family "Bacterial small subunit ribosomal RNA", at positions 30 to 526 of the family's 1533-position model. The record is from RNAcentral.